UUUAAAACGAUAAGUGCCUAGGGGACAG
This 28-nucleotide small RNA is filed under the name Bombyx mori (domestic silkworm). RNAcentral's name for it is "piRNA piR-bmo-1855667". Lineage: Eukaryota; Metazoa; Arthropoda; Insecta; Lepidoptera; Bombycidae. The record is from RNAcentral.